GCUAUGACCAUGAUUACGCCAAGCUAUUUAGGUGACACUAUAGAAUACUCAAGCUAUGCAUCCAACGCGUUGGGAGCUCUCCCAUAUGGUCGACCUGCAGGCGGCCGCACUAGUGAUUGUAGUCAUAUGCUUGUCUCAAAGAUUAAGCCAUGCAUGUCUAAGUAUAAGCAAUUAUACCGUGAAACUGCGAAUGGCUCAUUAAAUCAGUUAUCGUUUAUUUGAUAAUACCUUACUACUUGGAUAACCGUGGUAAUUCUAGAGCUAAUACAUGCUGAAAAUCCCGACUUCGGAAGGGAUGUGUUUAUUAGAUAAAAAACCAAUGCCCUUCGGGGCUCUUUGGUGAUUCAUGAUAACUUUACGGAUCGCAUAGCCUUGCGCUGGCGACGGUUCAUUCAAAUUUCUGCCCUAUCAACUUUCGAUGGUAAGGUAUUGGCUUACCAUGGUUUCAACGGGUAACGGGGAAUUAGGGUUCGAUUCCGGAGAGGGAGCCUGAGAAACGGCUACCACAUCCAAGGAAGGCAGCAGGCGCGCAAAUUACCCAAUCCCGACACGGGGAGGUAGUGACAAUAAAUACUGAUACAGGGCUCUUUUGGGUCUUGUAAUUGGAAUGAGUACAAUUUAAACCUCUUAACGAGGAACAAUUGGAGGGCAAGUCUGGUGCCAGCAGCCGCGGUAAUUCCAGCUCCAAUAGCGUAUAUUAAAG
This 703-nucleotide ribosomal RNA is filed under the name uncultured Ascomycota. RNAcentral's name for it is "partial 18S ribosomal RNA". The stretch from base 108 to 703 matches the Rfam family "Eukaryotic small subunit ribosomal RNA", at positions 1 to 609 of the family's 1831-position model. Lineage: Eukaryota; Fungi; Ascomycota. The record is from RNAcentral.